GAAUAGGGAUGAUGCUCAGCACCGAAUCUCUCGCCUGGUUGAGCGGGCGCCGAGAAAUGUGGUGUUCAGGGGGACCGUGCGCGCCUGUCCGAUUUUGUCCAAGUCUCCAUGAACGGGGCGAGCAACCCAUAGAGGGUGAUAGGCCCGUAGACCGACAAAUCGCCGACCGUGUACUGGGUCGAAUACCCCUAAGAGUCGGGUUGCUUGAGAGUGCAGCCCUAAGCGGGAGGUAAACUCCUUCUAAAGCUAAAUAUCGCCACGAGACCGAUAGAGAACAAGUACCGCGAGGGAAAGUUGAAAAGAACUUUGAAGAGAGAGUUCAAUAGUGCGUGAAACCGUUCAGGGGGUUAAACGAGUGAGCCCUCGAAGGACGAACGUGGACUGCUACCCGGCAUUUGGUUGCAUGCCCCGACGCCUGAAAAUGAUGAGAUGGUCGUUCGACGAUCACUCCGGUGUCGGGAUCGGAUUAGCCGCGCCAAAGUCCGCAAGUUCAGCCACAAGUAGGACUCUGCGACCGAUUGACGCUUAUUGUGGUUACACGGUUUGGGGCUUAGCGAGUUUGCGAUGCGGUUCGCGCCGUGUCUUUACGAGCGGCCCCAUGUCCCAACCACACGUCGAUCGUGACCUGUCUCCGUACGGCGGAGCGCAUCGG
Molecule: ribosomal RNA, 652 nt
Filed under: Ceriodaphnia cornuta-rigaudi complex sp. 5 PS-2012
Lineage: Eukaryota; Metazoa; Arthropoda; Branchiopoda; Diplostraca; Daphniidae
Description: eukaryotic LSU rRNA
Rfam family: Eukaryotic large subunit ribosomal RNA
Source: RNAcentral